CGGGGUGCAGCAGGCGCGAAAACUUUGCAAUGCGGGAAACCGUGACAAGGGAACUCUGAGUGCCCGUUAAAUCGGGCUGUCCAUCGGUUUAAAUAACCGGUGAAGAAAGGGCCGGGCAAGACCGGUGCCAGCCGCCGCGGUAAUACCGGCGGCUCGAGUGGUGGCCACUAUUACUGGGCUUAAAGCGUUCGUAGCUGGUUUGUUAAGUCUCUGGGGAAAUCUUCCGGCUUAACCGGAAGGCGUCUCAGGGAUACUGGCAGACUAGGGACCGGGAGAGGUGAGAGGUACUCCAGGGGUAGGAGUGAAAUCCUGUAAUCCUUGGGGGACCACCUGUGGCGAAGGCGUCUCACCAGAACGGCUCCGACAGUGAGGGACGAAAGCUGGGGGAGCAAACCGGAUUAGAUACCCGGGUAGUCCCAGCUGUAAACGAUGUGCGUUAGGUGUAUCGGUGACCACGAGUCACCGAGGUGCCGAAGAGAAAUCGUGAAACGUACCGCCUGGGAAGUACGGUCGCAAGGCUGAAACUUAAAGGAAUUGGCGG
Molecule: ribosomal RNA, 541 nt
Filed under: uncultured archaeon
Lineage: Archaea
Description: bacterial SSU rRNA
Rfam family: Archaeal small subunit ribosomal RNA
Source: RNAcentral